CAGAGGGUGCGAGCGUUAAUCGGAUUUACUGGGCGUAAAGCGUGCGUAGGCGGCUAAUUGAGUCUGAUGUGAAAUCCCCGAGCUUAACUUGGGAAUUGCAUUCGAUACUGGUUAGCUAGAGUGUGGGAGAGGAUGGUAGAAUUCCAGGUGUAGCGGUGAAAAUGCGUAGAGAUCUGGAGGAAUACCGAUGGCGAAGGCAGCCAUCUGGCCUAAACACUGACGCUGAGGUACGAAAGCAUGGGAGCAAACAGGAUU
This 255-nucleotide ribosomal RNA is filed under the name uncultured bacterium. RNAcentral describes it as "partial 16S ribosomal RNA". It matches the Rfam family "Bacterial small subunit ribosomal RNA", at positions 526 to 779 of the family's 1533-position model. The record is from RNAcentral.